UACGUAGGGCGCGAGCGUUGUCCGGAUUUAUUGGGCGUAAAGAGCUCGUAGGCGGUUUGUCGCGUCGAAUGUGAAAACCCGGGGCUCAACCCCGGGCCUGCAUUCGAUACGGGCAGACUAGAGUUCGGUAGGGGAGUCUGGAAUUCCUGGUGUAGCGGUGAAAUGCGCAGAUAUCAGGAGGAACACCGAUGGCGAAGGCAGGUCUCUGGGCCGAUACUGACGCUGAGGAGCGAAAGCGUGGGGAGCGAACAGG
Molecule: ribosomal RNA, 253 nt
Filed under: uncultured bacterium
Lineage: Bacteria
Description: partial 16S ribosomal RNA
Rfam family: Bacterial small subunit ribosomal RNA
Source: RNAcentral